Molecule: non-coding RNA, 446 nt
Organism: Callithrix jacchus (white-tufted-ear marmoset)
Lineage: Eukaryota; Metazoa; Chordata; Mammalia; Primates; Cebidae
Source: RefSeq, a predicted model, not a curated record
CUCCCCCAAUUCCCACAUGUCGUUGGAGGAACCCAGUGGGAGGUGAGUGAAUUAUGGGGGUGGAUCUUUCCUGCACUGUUCUUGUGAUAGUGAAUGAGUCUCAUGAGAUCUGAUGGUUUUAACAACAGGAGUUUCUCUGCACAGGCUCUCUUUUUGCUUGCUGCCAUCCAUGUAAGACAUGACCUGCUCCUCUUUGCCUUCUGCCAUGAUUGUGAGGCCUCCCCAGCCUCUUGGAACUAUAUGAUGUCAGUGAAUAUGAAGAGUAUUAUUAAUAGAAGAAAAUGGCUCAAGAGUUUAAAAAGAAAUAUUGCCAUUGGCAAUCUUCUUCCUGAUGGCCUGCCCAAUGGCUUCUUCAUUCAGAUACGAAUAAGCUGAGUCAAUAUGGCGGUAGCCUACAUCUAUUGCCACCUGGACGGCUUCUUCUACAUUACUCAUGGCAACCUGGA